Molecule: long non-coding RNA, 2866 nt
Organism: Canis lupus familiaris (dog)
Lineage: Eukaryota; Metazoa; Chordata; Mammalia; Carnivora; Canidae
Exons: 4
Source: RefSeq, a predicted model, not a curated record
UUGGAGAAGGAGAGAGAGUGAAUCUAUACUACCCAAGCCGGGCAUAGGCCACCCCAAGAGUGGGGAGCUGGGGCCGGCCUGGCAGGUGCAGGCAACUGGGAACCCAGUACUCAGCCACCCAGGGGAGUUUCUCUGAAGCACCCCUGAACAGGCAGGGAGAGGCCAGCGCAAACCAGAUAAAUGUUUGUGGGACACCUCUGGCAGACAUGGCCUCCGGUUGAACACCUGUCACUCUUAACAAUAUUCACUGGAAAUCAACGGUGAAAACUGCUGCAGUCUAAUGAAAAUUGGUAUUUCAAACUUAUUUACAACUCCAUAAAAGAAAAGUUCCACUUCCACAUAUAAGACACCUUACAAGGCAGAGGCACCUGAGUGCAUUGACUGGAUGUUGGCUCAGGUCACGAUCUAAGGUCAUUUCAAUGGAAUGAUUCUUGUAGAGGAUGAACAGGUGCUGAGAACUCAAGGAGAUAUGAAGAAGGAAUGGAUGUGUGGACUGUGGAGGCAAAGUCAGCAAUGAAAGCAAAUGUAGAAAGGAACUUCCCACUAAUCUCAAGGCCGUAGAGGGGAAGGACUCUCUCUCUCUCUCUCUCUCUCUCUCAAUCAAUCUUAAAGAAAAAAAGACACCUUACAAGGCAGGAUGCAGAGACCCAAAUCAGUGCAAAUUACUAGAGGAACGUGAAAUGAAAAGGUAUAUAGUAAUUAAUUGUAGUUAUAACAUUCUUAUAAGAGCAAAUACAGCAUUAAUCAUAAAAAUAAAAACUAGAAACGACCUAAAUAUUCCAAGAACAUUAGAAUAACAUGUGGUAUAUUCAUAUGAUAAAAUACUAUACAGCACUGAAAAUUCAGAAGAACUACUAUACACUGGGUAAUGAAGAGCAAAGGAAGGCACACCCUAUAUAUAUGUUCAUAAAAGAUCAAAAUUAAUAGAUGUUAUUGGAAUUUCUGCUAGUAGUUACCCUUGGAGAAAAAGGAUGGAAGCAGUGAUUUGGAAGAGGUACAAGGAGGCUUCUGGAGUGCUGUCACGCCCUCAAGCAAUCCUGGGGCAGUGCUGACAACAGCUGCACCAAGGGAAGCCCUCAGAAUCCUAAACUGCUGAUGUUGGAGAACCUUCUCUUCUGAUUAGAUAUGUAGUAUCAAGAGAUUGGGGGAAAAAAAAAUGAGAUUGGGGCAAAGUUCCAUUGCGUUGUCCUCCCACCAUCUGGCCUCAGAUGCAGUCAGUCACAGAGUGGGAUAAGUAAAGCUCCAGCUUUCCAGCCAAAGGACCAAAAAGAAGAGCCCCCAAGGAACUGAAAAGUACUGAGAAGACCACAGAGAGGGAAGAACUUAGAAAUAAAAAAUCCAUAAAAUUGUUUAUGAACUGGUAGGUUCACCCCUGGGUAUAUAUGAAUCUGACACGAAACAGUAUACUAUAGACUUUGAAAACUAAGCCAUGCGGUAGGUCACUGCCCUGAUCUCACACUGGCCACUGGGCAGGAUACACAUGGGAUGGACCUGAAAGGCAUUGCAAAGACUGAGAAUGGAACUGGUACUGAAAUCACAAUUCACAGAAGACAAGUCAGAAUUUGCUGCUUUAACCCAGCAGGAUCAACUCCUGCUAAAACAAAAAUAUCAACAUUCUUCAUAGAACUUUAAAUAAGAACCAAAUUUCUUAGAAUAUAAUAAUCAAAAUGACCAGGAUGCAAUCAAUUAUUCUGCACAUGAAGAACUAGAAAAAUCUCAGAAUGUAUGGGGAAAAGAAAUCAGAUGACACAAAUGUUAAAGGUAUCCAACAAUAAUUUCAAGGCAGCUUUUAUAAAAAUUCUCCAAAAAGUAAUAGUGAAAACUCUUGAAAUGAAUGGAAAGAUAGAAAGUCUCAACAAAGAAAUACAAGAUACAAGGGAAGAACCAAGUAGAAAUUUUGAAUGCUGAAAACUCCAAUAACUGAAAUUAAAAAUUCACUGGAUGGGCUCAAUAGCAGAACAGACAUGAUUGAGGAAAGAGUCAAUGAACUUGAAAACAGACCAAGAGACGUUAUAUAAUCUGAACAAACAGAAAAGGUUGGGGAGGGAAAUGAACAGAGCCUCUGAGACUUGUGGGACAACAACAAAAGCUCUACCAUUCACAUCAUCAUAGACUUGGAAAUAGAAGAGAAUGUGUUAUAAAAAUAAGUAUUUGAAGAAAUGGUUGCUGAAAGCUUCCCUAAUUUGACAAAUGCUAGAAUUUAUAGAUUCAAAAAACACAGUUAACUCUAAACAGGAUAAUCCCAAAGAAACCAAAUGUCCAGACAUAGCACAAUCCAACUGCUAAAAACUAAAGACCAAGAAAAAGUCUUGAAAGCAACCAGAGAAAACUGAUGCAUUAUAUACAGGGAAAAAUGAUUCGAAUGACAACCAAUUUCCCAUGAGAAACGCGGAGGACAGAAGUAAGUGGAAUAACUUUUUAAAGCACUGGAUGAACUAGCCAACCCAGAAGUCUAUAUCCAGUGGAAAAUGUCCUUCAGGAAUGAAGGUGAAAGACACUUUCAGAGAAAGGAAAACUAAGAGAAUUAUUGCCACCAGAACUGCUCUAAAAGAAGUGUUAAAGGAUGCUCCUCAGGCAGAAGGAAUACUAGAAAAUGGGGAAAACAACAGAAGUUAAAAACAUCUGGGUAAACACAGUAAGCUAUUCUCCUAUUGAGUUGCUUAAAACAUUUUUAAAGUCAGGGCACCCGGCUGGCUCUGCUAGGUAAGCAUCCGACUCUUGGUUUUGCUCAGGUCAUGAUCUCAGGGUCAUGAAAUCAAGCCAUGCAAUGGGCUCCAUGCUCAACUAGGAGUCUGUGUGAGAUUCGGUCUCUCCCUCUCCUCCCUCUGCCCCUCCCCCCCACCAUCUCUCUCUCUCUCUCUCUCUC